GCGGACAGACAGCAGACAGAAAUAGACACGCAGGACAGUACCGCCCCCUCCCAACAGGCCCCAGACCCGGCUUCCCUCCCUCCUCCACCAAAGCAUCCCAAACGGGCUUUGAAACACGCACAGACGCAAAACGGCGCUCGGUGUUCAAGGGCCGCCGCACACGCGCACACACGCACUAACGCUGCUGCUUCUGCGGACACGGAGACACCGCGGGACCAGACCCGCUAAACCAUGUCACUUGCGCUCACAGCAGGUCCCCGACAGAGACACACAGACCCACUCCUGCACCCUGCCCUGGGCAUAGGACACUGAGAAGACAGGUGGGAUGGGGCGCAGGCCGUGCUCAGGUGCAGGCGGACAGAUGCCCCCUGGAUCAGACCGGACCCUCGCUGUCGCCCAGACCCAGGGCAGGCGUCCUCACCACCGACAGCCCAGAAAAGAACGGCUUUUAUCCAGAGGAAUGACUCCCUAGUGUGGACGGCCAGGCGAUGAAGUCAGGCUCGGGGCGGAUUUUCAUGUAAGGACCAGUCGCAUCUCGCGGGACCCUGCAUCCCCCUGAAGCCUGUCCCCAGCGGUCCCGCACGGGGGGUGUCCCUGGACCGCGGUCUGGGAGAGCUUUUCCGCGGAGUGACCCCGCAGCGCCCAUCUGAAGGUGUGUGCUGCCCUCUAGCGGCCGAGCCACGUGGCAUCAGCCUCCCGCCGACAGCAUCUGGAAUUUGCAUUUUCCUGGGACCCAGGACACGGUGGCCACAAGGAGCAGCCAGGGGCAGAGGAGGCCGCUGGGCAAGGACGUGGCCCCAGGGGGAGUUCACUUAGAGACAAGCUCCACGGAGAGAAAUGAAACAGUAACAGAAUGUGAGGUCCCCAGGCCAAAGUAACUCCUUUUUGAAAAUCGGCACCACCCCACCUUCCCGUUAGGCCCAUCCUGAAAAAGUCCCUGACUACCGAAACCACAGCAAAGACAUUGGGUAGCAACCACAGGACUAGACAGGUUAUUUUUCAAGUACUCCAUUGCACUUGACUCUGUAGUUAAGAAGUGCCCCCCCCCCCAGGCUGCUGCACCUGGCAGAAGGGCAGCCUGGCGGAUAUUCUCUGUCAAUAAACCUUUGCUGGACUCAGAGCUGGGUCUCUCCUGGACAUUUGCACCAGCUACCCUAACACAGACCAGGAGGUGUCCGUCUAAUUGUCCAUGUUUUAAAAUUGACAAGCAAAUUGCAUACACAGUGAGCCCUCUUUAUCCACGGUCCCGCCUCUGGGGGUCAGCCGACACAGAUGGGAAAGAGUCCCCCCAAGAUUGCCUCUGAACUGGAUGUGUACUGGCCUCACUUUCUGGUCCUGAGCUUAGUGGCUCUAGAGUCCAGAGGGGAGCGAGAUCCUGUGGUGCUGUCCAUUCUGUGACUGGGCUUGCUUCACAACAUCCUUCAAACUCAUCACUUGGUCAUGGUGAUAAGACUAUUUUUUUUUUUCCGAAGUUUUUGUGUACCAGGGUUUGAACUCCGGGGCACUGGAGCCACAUCCCCUGCCCUAUUUUGUAUUUUAUUUAGAGACAGAGACUCACCGAGUUGCUUAGCACCUCACUUUUUUUGCUGAGGCUGGCUUUGAACUCUCGAUCCUCCUGCCUCAGCCUCCUGAGCAGCUGGGAUUACAGACAUGCAUGACCAAGACUUUAUUUUUGAAGAGGCUGAAUGGCACUUUAUUGUGUGUAUACGAUUGCCCUCCUUUGCCGGUAGUUCUACUUUCUGAAGUUCUAAUUGUGGUCAGCUGUGAUCCAAAAACAUGUAUGCAAUAUUUUGAAAGAGAGAAAGAGAGAGAGAGAGAGAGAGAGAGAGAUCAUAUUCAUAUAACUUUAUUACACUAUAUAUGUGACAGUUGUAUUUUAUUAUUAGCUAUGGUUACUAAUCUCUUACUUCAUCUCAUUCACAAGUUAAUCUUCAUCAGAGUUUGCACCUAUGGGAAAAGCAGAGUCCAACAGAGUUCAAUGUUUUCCAAGGUUUUGGAUACCACUGGGAGUCUUGGAAUAUUCCCCCAUGUGUGUGAGAGAUUGCUGAAUCCAUAUUUUAAAAAUGCAGUCUAGAGGGUGACUUGGUGGUGUUGAGUGGCUAUUGUGGGUCAGCUGACCAGAGAGGGCUUUUCUGGUAUUUGAGCUCAUAUCCAGGUGAAUCCUAGAAAUGAACCACAGGAGAACAAUGUGUUUCAGGCAGAGGGAGCAGCAGGAGAAGAGGAUGUGGGGAGGGAAGGAGCUUGGUAAGUCUGGGUCUGUGAUUUAUUAAAGAUGGUUGAAUUUUC
Molecule: non-coding RNA, 2286 nt
Organism: Ictidomys tridecemlineatus (thirteen-lined ground squirrel)
Lineage: Eukaryota; Metazoa; Chordata; Mammalia; Rodentia; Sciuridae
Source: RefSeq, a predicted model, not a curated record